AGUCCCCGAGUCCGCUGGCGAAAGACGCUCGGCUUUGGACCGAGAGAGCGAGGUUCGAUUCCUCGGGGGACUA
This 73-nucleotide transfer RNA is filed under the name Halogranum tailed virus 1. RNAcentral describes it as "Halovirus HGTV-1 tRNA-Gln". It matches the Rfam family "tRNA". Rfam says of the family: Transfer RNA (tRNA) molecules are approximately 80 nucleotides in length. Lineage: Duplodnaviria; Heunggongvirae; Uroviricota; Caudoviricetes; Thumleimavirales; Halomagnusviridae. The record is from RNAcentral.